GGUGACCUGCGGAAGGAUCAUUAAUAAUAAGUGUUUUAUGGCCUUUUGAAAUCCAUAUCCACCUUGUGUGCAAUGUCAGCCGAUCUUUCUUUUUUGGAAGAUCUGCCAAACAUCAACUUAUUUUUUUAACUCUUUGUCUGAAAAAAAUUAUGAAUAAACGAUUGAAAAUACUGCUUUAAACAACUGAUCUCUUGGCUCUCGCAUCGAUGAAGAACGCAGCGAAAUGCGAUACGUAAUGUGAAUUGCAAAAUUCAGUGAAUCAUCGAAUCUUUGAACGCAUAUUGCGCUCUUUGGUAUUCCGAAGAGCAUGCUUGUUUGAGUAUCCGUAAACACCUCCAAACUUUUGAUUUAUUUUGAAAGCUUUGGACUUGAGCGAUCCCAACACCAAUCUUUUAAGAUCGGCGGCGGGUUGUUUGAAAUGCAGGUGCAGCUGGACAUUCUCCUGAGCUAAAAGCAUAUUUAUUUAGUCCCGUCAAACGGAUUAUUACUUUUGCUGCAGCUAAUAUAAAGGGAGUUUGACCGUUUUGGCUGACUGAUGCANGAUUUCACAAGGGUCGGCAACGAUUCUUGUUAAACUCGAUCUCAAUCAAGUAAGACUACCCGCUGAACUUAAGCAUAUCAAUAAGCGGAGGAAAGAAACUAACAGGA
This 648-nucleotide ribosomal RNA is filed under the name uncultured fungus. RNAcentral describes it as "eukaryotic LSU rRNA". The stretch from base 172 to 325 matches the Rfam family "5.8S ribosomal RNA". Lineage: Eukaryota; Fungi. The record is from RNAcentral.